GGGGGAAAAUUAAUUAAAUAAAAUUAAUAAAAUAAAUUUUAAAGUUAAAAAUAAAUAAUGGGGGUUAAAGUAUUUUUAAUAGAAAAAAUUUAAAAUUUUAUAGGGGAUAAGUAUUGUAGGGGAAAUUUGAAAUAAUUAAAAAAUUAAUUAUUAAAAAAGAAAAUUUAAUUUAUUGUAUCUUGUGUAUCAGAGUUUAUUAAAUAUUUUUUUUAGUUAAAAAAAUCUCGAAUUUAAAAGAGUUAAUUAAUUAUAAAAUUUAAUGUAACAUAAUUAUUUUAGAUAAUUAAUUAGAAAUGAAAUGUUAAUCGUUUUUAAAUAUAUCUAGUUAUUUUAGAAAAAAAUUUAAUUUUAAAUUAAUAUAAUUUUAUAAUUUAAUAUGAAAAAUUAUAAAAAUUUGAAUUUAAUAUUUUAAGGGAUAAGCUUUAAAUUAAAAAUUUAUAAUAAUAAUAAAUUAAAAUUAAAAUUUUUAAAAUUUAUAUUGUUUAAAAAUUAUAAUUUAUUAUAAAAAAUUUUAAUAAAAAUAAAAUUUAAAAGAAAAAAAUUUAAAUUUUUAUAAAAAAAUAAUUUUUAAUAGGCUAAUAUUAGUAAUAAUGAUAAAAUUAGUAUAAAAAUAAUAAAAAAUAUAAAUUAAAAUUAAAGGUAAUUAAAAGGAAUUCGGCAAAUAAAGUAUUCACUUGUUUAACAAAAACAUGUCUUUUUGAGUAUAAUUUAAAGUCUAAUCUGCCCACUGAUAAAUAUUAAAGGGCUGCAGUAUAUUGACUGUACAAAGGUAGCAAAAUCAUUAGUUUUUUAAUUGAAAACUUGUAUGAAAGAUUUGAUGAAAUAUAAACUGUCUCUUAGUGUUAUUAUUAUAAUUUUAUUUUUUAGUUAAAAAGCUAAAAUAAUUUUAAAAGACGAGAAGACCCUAUAGAGUUUUAUAUUUAAUUAUUUUUUAAAAAUAUAUAUAAAUUAAUGUUAAAAUAUAAUUAAAUAUUGUAUUGGGGUGAUAGAAAAAUUAAAAUAACUUUUUUUAAAAAUUAAACAUAAAUAAAUGAUAGUAGGAUCCAUAAAUAAUGAUUAUAAGAAAAAAUUACCUUAGGGAUAACAGCGUAAUAUUUUUUUUUAGUUCAAAUAAAAAAAAAAGUUUGCGACCUCGAUGUUGGAUUAAGAUAAAAUUUAAAUGCAAAAGUUUAAAGUUUUGAUCUGUUCGAUCAUUAAAAUCUUACAUGAUCUGAGUUCAAACCGGUGUAAGCCAGGUUGGUUUCUAUCUUUAAAAAAUUUAAAAUAUUUUA
RNAcentral lists this ribosomal RNA (1271 nucleotides) under Lopinga achine (woodland brown). RNAcentral describes it as "partial 16S ribosomal RNA". The stretch from base 1080 to 1238 matches the Rfam family "Archaeal large subunit ribosomal RNA", at positions 2544 to 2703 of the family's 2987-position model. The record is from RNAcentral. Lineage: Eukaryota; Metazoa; Arthropoda; Insecta; Lepidoptera; Nymphalidae.